GGGAUGUACAGAAAUACAUCUGGCUAGAAUACUCUGUCUAGGAAAAACUCCAGUAAUUUUGCUAAAUGGAUUUCAAGCAGUGAAGGAUGCUUUGACUGGCCACACAGAAGAAUUUUGAGAGACUUGUGGAAUCCUUUUUGAGGGAUGUCAUGGAAGACCCCUGCAGCAUCAUCUUUGCCAAUGAGCACACUCAGAUGCAGCAGAGAUGGGUCAGCUUGAGGCUGCCAUGUGCCAGAUGCUGCUCAGAGGCUCCCACGCCAUGGCAGAAUUCCACUGUGGCUCCUGGCCUUAGGUGAGCAAGGACUGACCUGUUUUCUGUAACUGUAUCACAAGCCAGCAGUGUUCCUCCGUGAGCUG
Long non-coding RNA from Apus apus (common swift), 357 nucleotides. RefSeq lists it as uncharacterized. The record is from RefSeq and is a predicted model, not a curated record. Lineage: Eukaryota; Metazoa; Chordata; Aves; Apodiformes; Apodidae. The transcript is spliced from 3 exons.